Molecule: ribosomal RNA, 493 nt
Filed under: uncultured bacterium
Lineage: Bacteria
Description: partial 16S ribosomal RNA
Rfam family: Bacterial small subunit ribosomal RNA
Source: RNAcentral
AUUGAACGCUGGCGGCAUGCUUUACACAUGCAAGUCGAACGGUAACAGGUUAAGCUGACGAGUGGCGAACGGGUGAGUAAUGCAUCGGAACGUGCCCGGUCGUGGGGGAUAACGCAGCGAAAGCUGCGCUAAUACCGCAUACGAUCUAAGGAUGAAAGCGGGGGACCGUAAGGCCUCGCGCGAUCGGAGCGGCCGAUGGCAGAUUAGGUAGUUGGGGGGGUAAAGGCUCACCAAGCCAACGAUCUGUAGCUGGUCUGAGAGGACGACCAGCCACACUGGGACUGAGACACGGCCCAGACUCCUACGGGAGGCAGCAGUGGGGGAUUUUGGACAAUGGGCGAAAGCCUGAUCCAGCAAUGCCGCGUGCAGGAAGAAGGCCUUCGGGUUGUAAACUGCUUUUGUACGGAGCGAAAAGGUCUUCUCUAAUACAGGGGGCUCAUGACGGUACCGUAAGAAUAAGCACCGGCUAACUACGUGCCAGCAGCCGCCGUAA